RNAcentral lists this ribosomal RNA (243 nucleotides) under Triticum aestivum (bread wheat). RNAcentral's name for it is "partial small subunit ribosomal RNA". The record is from RNAcentral. Lineage: Eukaryota; Viridiplantae; Streptophyta; Magnoliopsida; Poales; Poaceae.
AUGAAAGAGGCGAUCAGAAUGGUAACCGAAUCCAUUUACGAUCCCGAGUUUCCAGACACAUCGCACUUCCGCUCGGGUCGAGGCUGCCACUCGGCCCUCAGACGGAUCAAAGAAGAGUGGGGAACCUCUCGCUGGUUUUUGGAGUUCGACAUCAGGAAGUGUUUUCACACCAUCGACCGACAUCGAUUCAUCUCAAUCUUGAAAGAAGAGAUCGACGAUUCCAAGUUCUUUUACCCCACUUAG